RNAcentral lists this ribosomal RNA (490 nucleotides) under uncultured bacterium. RNAcentral describes it as "partial 16S ribosomal RNA". It matches the Rfam family "Bacterial small subunit ribosomal RNA", at positions 30 to 507 of the family's 1533-position model. The record is from RNAcentral.
AUUGAACGCUGGCGGCAGGCCUAACACAUGCAAGUCGAACGGUAACAGGAAGAAGCUUGCUUCUUUGCUGACGAGUGGCGGACGGGUGAGUAAUGUCUGGGAAACUGCCUGAUGGAGGGGGAUAACUACUGGAAACGGUAGCUAAUACCGCAUAACGUCGCAAAACCAAAGAGGGGGACCUUCGGGCCUCUUGCCAUCGGAUGUGCCCAGAUGGGAUUAGCUAGUAGGUGGGGUAACGGCUCACCUAGGCGACGAUCCCUAGCUGGUCUGAGAGGAUGACCAGCCACACUGGAACUGAGACACGGUCCAGACUCCUACGGGAGGCAGCAGUGGGGAAUAUUGCACAAUGGGCGCAAGCCUGAUGCAGCCAUGCCGCGUGUAUGAAGAAGGCCUUCGGGUUGUAAAGUACUUUCAGCGGGGAGGAAGGGGGUAAAGUUAAUACCUUUGCUCAUUGACGUUACCCGCAGAAGAAGCACCGGCUAACUCCGUG